AUUGAACUGAAGAGUUUGAUCCUGGCUCAGAUUGAACGCUGGCGGCAUGCCUUACACAUGCAAGUCGAACGGCAGCACGGGUGCUUGCACCUGGUGGCGAGUGGCGAACGGGUGAGUAAUACAUCGGAACAUGUCCAGUAGUGGGGGAUAGCCCGGCGAAAGCCGGAUUAAUACCGCAUACGAUCUACGGAUGAAAGCGGGGGACCUUCGGGCCUCGCGCUAUUGGGGUGGCCGAUGGCGGAUUAGCUAGUUGGUGGGGUAAAGGCCCACCAAGGCGACGAUCCGUAGCUGGUCUGAGAGGACGACCAGCCACACUGGGACUGAGACACGGCCCAGACUCCUACGGGAGGCAGCAGUGGGGAAUUUUGGACAAUGGGCGAAAGCCUGAUCCAGCAAUGCCGCGUGUGUGAAGAAGGCCUUCGGGUUGUAAAGCACUUUUGUCCGGAAAGAAAUCCUGGUGGCUAAUAUCCGCCGGGGAUGACGGUACCGGAAGAAUAAGCACC
Molecule: ribosomal RNA, 503 nt
Filed under: Paraburkholderia guartelaensis
Lineage: Bacteria; Pseudomonadati; Pseudomonadota; Betaproteobacteria; Burkholderiales; Burkholderiaceae
Description: bacterial SSU rRNA
Rfam family: Bacterial small subunit ribosomal RNA
Source: RNAcentral